RNAcentral lists this long non-coding RNA (217 nucleotides) under Bos taurus (domestic cattle). RNAcentral's name for it is "long non-coding RNA NONBTAT015995". The record is from RNAcentral. Lineage: Eukaryota; Metazoa; Chordata; Mammalia; Artiodactyla; Bovidae.
UUCUGUUUCUAAUAGGAAGAAUGACUUAACAACCAACAGGUAAUUUUCAGAAGAUGAGUAAAUAAGCUAGCAGUAAUUAAGCCAGAGAAUAAGUGCUUUUAAAGACAGAAGAGCAGAAAGCUACCCCAAUGAUCCCAUUAUGAUCAGAAUUACUGAGUCAUAUCAGUCAAAGAAACAUUGCUGGUUAGAGCCCAAGUGGACCCUGACUUCGGUCUUG